Non-coding RNA from Plutella xylostella (diamondback moth), 203 nucleotides. NCBI's taxonomy places the organism in Eukaryota, Metazoa, Arthropoda, Insecta, Lepidoptera, Plutellidae. The record is from RefSeq and is a predicted model, not a curated record.
UUUGAUUGUCAAUUAUUGCAAUUAAACUAAGAAUAAAUAAGUAAUAAAAUAAAAUAAUGAUAUAAAAAAACGACUUCCAAAAACCACUAAAACGUAAGAAAUAAUUUAAGGUUUAGACAUGGUUUAGACCUAUUCUAUGUGCCAGUACUAAUAUAUCUAAGCAGGUAAGUACUGCUUUUAUUUCUUACGUUUUAGUGUUUUUU